RNAcentral lists this ribosomal RNA (253 nucleotides) under uncultured bacterium. Its description in RNAcentral is "partial 16S ribosomal RNA". It matches the Rfam family "Bacterial small subunit ribosomal RNA", at positions 524 to 776 of the family's 1533-position model. The record is from RNAcentral.
GACGUAGGGCGCGAGCGUUGUCCGGAUUUAUUGGGCGUAAAGAGCUCGUAGGCGGUCUGUCGCGUCGGCUGUGAAAACCCGGAGCUCAACUCCGGGCCUGCAGUCGAUACGGGCAAACUGGAGUGUUGCAGGGGAGACUGGAAUUCCUGGUGUAGCGGUGAAAUGCGCAGAUAUCAGGAGGAACACCGGUGGCGAAGGCGGGUCUCUGGGCAACAACUGACGCUGAGGAGCGAAAGCGUGGGGAGCGAACAGG